UUUUAAGAAUCGAAAUCAGACAUCACAUAUGUGCAUGAGUAGAAGUGAAUCAACUCAUUGAAAAAUGCUUAAUGCGAGACUAGCGAACAAUACAGUCAGGAUGGCUAAAGGUGACCCCAAGAAACCAAAGGGCAAGAUGUCUGCUUAUGCCUUCUUUGUGCAGACGUGCAGAGAAGAACAUAAGAAAAACCCAGAGGUCCCUGUCAAUUUUGCAGAAUUUUCCAAGAAGUGCUGUGAGAGGUGGAAGACAAUGUCCGGGAAAGAGAAAUCUAAAUUUGAUGAAAUGGCAAAGGCAGAUAAAGUGCUCUAUGAUCGGGAAAUGAAGGAUUAUGGACCAGCUAAGGGAGGCAAGAAGAAGGAGGAUCCUAAUGCUCCCAAAAGGCCACCGUCUGGAUUCUUCCUGUUCUGUUCAGAAUUCCACCCCAAGAUCAAAUCCACAAACCCCGACAUCUCUAUUGGAGACGUGGCAAAAAAGCUGGGUGAGAUGUGGAAUAAUUUAAAUGACAGUGACAAGCAGCCUUACAUCACUAAGGCAGCAAAGCUGAAGGAGAAGUAUGAGAAGGAUGCUGCUGACUAUAAGUCGAAAGGAAAGUUUGAUGGUGCAAAGGGUCCUGCUAAAGUUGCCUGGAAAAAGGUUGAAGAGGAAGAUGAAGAGGAGGAGGAAGAAGAGAAGAAGAGGAGGAGGAGGAGGAUGAUGAAUAA
RNA transcript from Macaca mulatta (Rhesus monkey), 702 nucleotides. It is a transcript of the gene named high mobility group protein B3 pseudogene, with no coding region annotated. NCBI's taxonomy places the organism in Eukaryota, Metazoa, Chordata, Mammalia, Primates, Cercopithecidae. The record is from RefSeq and is a predicted model, not a curated record.